Molecule: non-coding RNA, 99 nt
Organism: Borealophlyctis nickersoniae
Lineage: Eukaryota; Fungi; Chytridiomycota; Chytridiomycetes; Rhizophlyctidales; Borealophlyctidaceae
Source: the annotation of a GenBank genome assembly
GUCAGUGUAGUAUAGUGGUAGUACGCCGCGUUGUGGGAUUGCACGGAGGUGCGCUACUGCGAAUCCGCGUUGACGCUGGUUCGAUUCCAGCCACUGACA